UGCUUUGUGCAGUGGCAGUAUCAUAGCCAAUGAAGUUUAUCCAAGGCGCGAUUAUUGCUAAUUGAAAAUUUUCUGGCAAUAUUCUGAAGCUGCUGGGAGUCAGCGUGAGAAAUGGCCCUUCUCCCGAGG
This 129-nucleotide small nuclear RNA is filed under the name Ochotona princeps (American pika). RNAcentral's name for it is "U4 spliceosomal RNA (ENSOPRG00000021099.1)". It matches the Rfam family "U4 spliceosomal RNA". From Rfam's summary of the family: U4 small nuclear RNA (U4 snRNA) is a component of the major U2-dependent spliceosome. The structure of U4 snRNA from yeast and human has been reported. The record is from RNAcentral. Lineage: Eukaryota; Metazoa; Chordata; Mammalia; Lagomorpha; Ochotonidae.